GACAGGGUGGCGAGACCAAGUAACUGCUCCAAGGUCCCAGGCUGGGCGGCGGAGCCCGGCUCGGUCAGACGCGGAUCCAGGCCGGACUCCACGUCUUCCUGCUCCGAAACUGAGGGCCAGUGGAGGCACAGGGUGUAAGCAGUGCUUCUCCAUCCGGAAUGUGCCGAUGCAUCCACCUGGGAAACUUGUUACAACACAGAUGCACAUUCAGUUGAUCCAAGGCAGGUGAGGAAACGGGGACAAAUGCCAGAUUCCUGAUCAGAUUUAAGGCUGGACAGAGAUGCGUCCAUCAGAGCCAGAUGAACAGAAGUCAACAGAUGCAAUGUCUAUCCAUCAUGUGGGUUGCCCACAAAAUCAAGAUGGCCAGGAAGCAGCUGGUAUUUACACCUGGGGCUCUCCCCUUGCCCUCACUUGGGCAGAGGCAGAGAAAGAACGUUGCCCAGCAGCACUUUGGGGAGUUCCCCCUCACACACACAUUCCAUGAUAAUCCGCUUCAGUUGUUAUGAUUUGGGCAAGUUGCCUCCAAGGAUAACUCCUGUGGAAAGAUGGCCAUGGAUUUAGGGGGGAGACCUUUUUUCCGAGAUUACCUUUGUAAAUCUGGAUGUGGUCAGGGUGGGUAGAGGGUAAUCUUAGCCACCCACAGGAGAGAUCCUUCUAGACAAUGAAGCAGCACUGAGGACGGCAGAGCCAUGCCCUUGUUCUUCAAAUUACGCAAGUAGGUCAAGUCCCUUUCUUCCCCUUAAGCCAGAGGUUGUCUGAAACUUUCAACUGGAGUAUGCAUAACACACCUGUGUGGAUUGAAGUGUGUCUCCCAGAAAGACGUGUCCAAGUCCCAACCUCUGGUACCUGUGAGUGUGACCUUAGUUGGAGUUAGGGUCUUUGCAGAUAUGAUCAGGCUAAGGUGAGGCCCCAUUAGAUUAGGCUGAGGACGAAGACACACACAGGAGGUAACACCGUGUAGUGAUGGAGGUAGAGAUUGGAGUGAUGCAUCCACAAGCCAAGGCAUGCCAGGAGCCACCAGAAGCUCGGAGAGAGGUGUGGAAAUUCCCUCAGAUUCUCUCUCAGAAACUCCAGAAGAAGGCAACCCCACUGACACCUGAAUUUUGACCUUCUAGUUUCCAGAACCCUGGGAGAAUAAAUUUCUGUUGUUUCGA
Long non-coding RNA from Aethalodelphis obliquidens (Pacific white-sided dolphin), 1154 nucleotides. RefSeq lists it as uncharacterized. Lineage: Eukaryota; Metazoa; Chordata; Mammalia; Artiodactyla; Delphinidae. The record is from RefSeq and is a predicted model, not a curated record. The transcript is spliced from 3 exons.